GGUUCUAUAGUGUAGUGGUUAUCACACGGGAUUUUGAAGAUACGGGAGGUUAGGGAUUCAGUUGACUAACCGUGUGAAAUAUUCCCGUAACCCCGGUUCGAGCCCGGGUAGGACCU
Non-coding RNA from Psilocybe cubensis, 116 nucleotides. NCBI's taxonomy places the organism in Eukaryota, Fungi, Basidiomycota, Agaricomycetes, Agaricales, Agrocybaceae. The record is from the annotation of a RefSeq genome assembly.